GGAGAGAUGGCAGGGCGGUUGAAUGCAGCGGUCUUGAAAACCGCCAGGCGGCCUAGCCAUCUUGAGGGUUCAAAUUCCCCUCCCCGUCA
Molecule: transfer RNA, 89 nt
Filed under: Coriobacteriaceae bacterium
Lineage: Bacteria; Bacillati; Actinomycetota; Coriobacteriia; Coriobacteriales; Coriobacteriaceae
Description: tRNA-Ser
Rfam family: tRNA
About the family: Transfer RNA (tRNA) molecules are approximately 80 nucleotides in length. Their secondary structure includes four short double-helical elements and three loops (D, anti-codon, and T loops). Further hydrogen bonds mediate the characteristic L-shaped molecular structure. tRNAs have two regions of fundamental functional importance: the anti-codon, which is responsible for specific mRNA codon recognition, and the 3' end, to which the tRNAs corresponding amino acid is attached (by aminoacyl-tRNA synthetases). tRNAs cope with the degeneracy of the genetic code in two manners: having more than one tRNA (with a specific anti-codon) for a particular amino acid; and 'wobble' base-pairing, i.e. permitting non-standard base-pairing at the 3rd anti-codon position.
Source: RNAcentral